Molecule: transfer RNA, 85 nt
Filed under: Aplosporella prunicola CBS 121167
Lineage: Eukaryota; Fungi; Ascomycota; Dothideomycetes; Botryosphaeriales; Aplosporellaceae
Rfam family: tRNA
About the family: Transfer RNA (tRNA) molecules are approximately 80 nucleotides in length. Their secondary structure includes four short double-helical elements and three loops (D, anti-codon, and T loops).
Source: Rfam by way of RNAcentral
GCACCUGUAGCUCAGGGGUAGAGCGCAGGAUUGCAGCUACACUGCAACCAUCCCGAGGUCAGCGGUUCGAAUCCGCUCAGGUGCU